This 409-nucleotide ribosomal RNA is filed under the name uncultured bacterium. RNAcentral's name for it is "partial 16S ribosomal RNA". It matches the Rfam family "Bacterial small subunit ribosomal RNA", at positions 355 to 776 of the family's 1533-position model. RNAcentral also lists the same sequence under 1 other name. The record is from RNAcentral.
UGGGGAAUAUUGCACAAUGGGCGCAAGCCUGAUGCAGCAACGCCGCGUGAGGGAUGACGGCCUUCGGGUUGUAAACCUCUUUUAGCAGGGAAGAAGCGAAAGUGACGGUACCUGCAGAAAAAGCGCCGGCUAACUACGUGCCAGCAGCCGCGGUAAUACGUAGGGCGCAAGCGUUAUCCGGAAUUAUUGGGCGUAAAGAGCUCGUAGGCGGUUUGUCGCGUCUGCUGUGAAAUCCCGAGGCUCAACCUCGGGCCUGCAGUGGGUACGGGCAGACUAGAGUGCGGUAGGGGAGAUUGGAAUUCCUGGUGUAGCGGUGGAAUGCGCAGAUAUCAGGAGGAACACCGAUGGCGAAGGCAGAUCUCUGGGCCGUAACUGACGCUGAGGAGCGAAAGGGUGGGGAGCAAACAGG